Molecule: non-coding RNA, 195 nt
Filed under: Salimicrobium jeotgali
Lineage: Bacteria; Bacillati; Bacillota; Bacilli; Caryophanales; Bacillaceae
Description: T-box sequence
Rfam family: T-box leader
About the family: Uncharged tRNA acts as the effector for transcription antitermination of genes in the T-box leader family. T-boxes are found upstream of many aminoacyl-tRNA synthetase genes and some amino acid biosynthetic genes usually in Gram-positive bacteria.
Source: RNAcentral
CAGAGAACAAGGAUGGAAGAUGAGUACGUACAAUGUUCUAUUGGUACAGAGAUGCUGUGGUCGGUGCGAACAGCGAAGACAUAGUACGGAAAUUGGGCUUCCGGAGUUUUACCGUAUAUCGGCGUUAACGAUUGAAGUCGGCUGUAUGAUCGCAAUACAGCAAUUAGGGUGGCACCGCGAGCAUUCGUCCCUGCA